CUAAGUUUGAUGGCGACCGGCGCACGGGUGAGUAACACGUAUCCAACCUGCCGAUGACUCGGGGAUAGCCUUUCGAAAGAAAGAUUAAUACCCGAUGGCAUAGUUCUUCCGCAUGGUAGAACUAUUAAAGAAUUUCGGUCAUCGAUGGGGAUGCGUUCCAUUAGGUUGUUGGCGGGGUAACGGCCCACCAAGCCUUCGAUGGAUAGGGGUUCUGAGAGGAAGGUCCCCCACAUUGGAACUGAGACACGGUCCAAACUCCUACGGAGGCAGCAUG
Molecule: ribosomal RNA, 274 nt
Filed under: uncultured bacterium
Lineage: Bacteria
Description: partial 16S ribosomal RNA
Rfam family: Bacterial small subunit ribosomal RNA
Source: RNAcentral